RNAcentral lists this ribosomal RNA (1343 nucleotides) under uncultured bacterium. Its description in RNAcentral is "16S ribosomal RNA". It matches the Rfam family "Bacterial small subunit ribosomal RNA", at positions 28 to 1378 of the family's 1533-position model. The record is from RNAcentral.
GACGAACGCUGGCGGCGUGCUUAACACAUGCAAGUCGAACGGAAAGGCCCUGCUUUUGUGGGGUGCUCGAGUGGCGAACGGGUGAGUAACACGUGAGUAACCUGCCCUUGACUUUGGGAUAACUUCAGGAAACUGGGGCUAAUACCGGAUAGGAGCUCCUGCUGCAUGGUGGGGGUUGGAAAGUUUCGGCGGUUGGGGAUGGACUCGCGGCUUAUCAGCUUGUUGGUGGGGUAGUGGCUUACCAAGGCUUUGACGGGUAGCCGGCCUGAGAGGGUGACCGGCCACAUUGGGACUGAGAUACGGCCCAGACUCCUACGGGAGGCAGCAGUGGGGAAUAUUGCACAAUGGGCGGAAGCCUGAUGCAGCAACGCCGCGUGCGGGAUGACGGCCUUCGGGUUGUAAACCGCUUUCGCCUGUGACGAAGCGUGAGUGACGGUAAUGGGUAAAGAAGCACCGGCUAACUACGUGCCAGCAGCCGCGGUGAUACGUAGGGUGCGAGCGUUGUCCGGAUUUAUUGGGCGUAAAGGGCUCGUAGGUGGUUGAUCGCGUCGGAAGUGUAAUCUUGGGGCUUAACCCUGAGCGUGCUUUCGAUACGGGUUGACUUGAGGAAGGUUGGGGAGAAUGGAAUUCCUGGUGGAGCGGUGGAAUGCGCAGAUAUCAGGAGGAACACCAGUGGCGAAGGCGGUUCUCUGGGCCUUUCCUGACGCUGAGGAGCGAAAGCGUGGGGAGCGAACAGGCUUAGAUACCCUGGUAGUCCACGCUGUAAACGGUGGGUACUAGGUGUGGGGUCCAUUCCACGGGUUCCGUGCCGUAGCUAACGCUUUAAGUACCCCGCCUGGGGAGUACGGCCGCAAGGCUAAAACUCAAAGGAAUUGACGGGGCCCCGCACAAGCGGCGGAGCAUGCGGAUUAAUUCGAUGCAACGCGUAGAACCUUACCUGGGUUUGACAUGGAUCGGGAGUGCUCAGAGAUGGGUGUGCCUCUUUUGGGGUCGGUUCACAGGUGGUGCAUGGCUGUCGUCAGCUCGUGUCGUGAGAUGUUGGGUUAAGUCCCGCAACGAGCGCAACCCUUGUUCACUGUUGCCAGCACGUUAUGGUGGGGACUCAGUGGAGACCGCCGGGGUCAACUCGGAGGAAGGUGGGGAUGACGUCAAGUCAUCAUGCCCCUUAUGUCCAGGGCUUCACGCAUGCUACAAUGGCUGGUACAGAGAGUGGCGAGCCUGUGAGGGUGAGCGAAUCUCGGAAAGCCGGUCUCAGUUCGGAUUGGGGUCUGCAACUCGACCUCAUGAAGUCGGAGUCGCUAGUAAUCGCAGAUCAGCAACGCUGCGGUGAAUACGUUCCCGGG